UUCAAUACUUCUCCAUUAGUGCUUAGACCAUUGACUAUAUCUUUAAUUCUUGUAAAAAAUUCUUUGACAUACUUUAUUGGCCUCAUAUAAGCCAACUCAAAUUGACUCAUAAACUCUUGCAGUUUCUCCAUCUUUAUAUCAGCAACUCUUCGAUAUGACUUCACCAAGAUUGUCCACGCUUCUUUUGAUAACUUUGCAUGCAAAUAUUUUUUAGAUACAUGCAAUUAGACCUUGAUAGCGAGAUAGUAGCGUGCCUUAUAUUAAUUUAAAUGUCUCUUCUUCUCCAAUUACGUAGUUGCAUUACCCAUCAAUGUUGUGACUGCGGGGGGUUCCUCAAAUCCUUCGUCAAUGGUGGACCAUAAUCCAAUAGCCAUAAAAAAAUUCUUCAUAUGUUGAUACCAAGUUUCAAAAUUAUUUUUCCAUCAAACACAAAAACGGGACAAUCAGGUAAUAGAGUAUCCAUAUUUUUUAGGAUCUCCCGGCGGCUCUGUAGGAUCUCAUACAGGCUUUGACACCAAUUUGAAGGAUUGAAAUAUCCCGAAGUACAAUUUAGACACAAGUAAAAAAUUCAACAAAUGCUAUAUAGAAGAAAAUUUAUAAAACUUGAGAGAUAAUGUGGCAGGAGACUUUUUCAGAACUCAGAAACUCUUUAAUCUCUAUACAUCGUAGCCACCUCUCCACAAUUGAAAAUAUGUAUCAAAACCCUUAUUUAUAAUACUGCAAUCCAAAUUUGACUAGAAUAACAAAACCUAUUGCAAUAUAAAUUUGGUAAAUAAAACCUUACUAGACAUGAAUUAAAUAAAAUACCAACCAAAUCCUAGACAACUUAGGAAUACUAAUUAAUCUUGGUUUAAUUUUCAACAUAUAUAAAAUUUAUUUAAAAACUUGAAUUUUUUUAUCAAAAUAAAAGAAUUUAAAUCUCGAAAAGGGAAUACGACAUAAAUUGAAGCAGAAUUUAAGUUGCAAAUACUGAAAAUAAUUUUCUUCCUUCUUAAACUUCGUCUAAUCAAAUAUACCACAGAGAGGUACAAUCGAUAUUUUCUCCAUUCUCUUAAUUGUUAGAAAUAAAAGUUAGUGGACCCUACCGAGGACACUUCUACCGACCCGCAUUCUGAAUUCAGGUCUAUAAAUACCCUUUGACCCUUCAAUAUUUUUCUUACUCCUCUCCAUUAGCAGGUCAAUUUUGGAGAGAGAGAACCCAAAAACACAAUAGUAAUUUGUAACUUAUCUCUCUCCGUUACCUUCUUCCGUUCAUCGUCACCGGACCUAUAAUUGAAUCGAAUCGGGUCAAAACUGUUUUUAUAAAAAAUGGAUACAUAUUGUUCGGACUGCAAACGGAACACGGAGGUAGUAUUCGACCACGCCGCCGGCGAUACGGUUUGCUCGGAGUGUGGGCUGGUAUUGGAAUCCCGUUCAAUNNNNN
RNAcentral lists this long non-coding RNA (1423 nucleotides) under Nicotiana tabacum (common tobacco). RNAcentral's name for it is "long non-coding RNA (NTAB_LNC014476)". Lineage: Eukaryota; Viridiplantae; Streptophyta; Magnoliopsida; Solanales; Solanaceae. The record is from RNAcentral.